RNAcentral lists this transfer RNA (113 nucleotides) under Desulfobulbaceae bacterium. Its description in RNAcentral is "tRNA-OTHER". It matches the Rfam family "tRNA". From Rfam's summary of the family: Transfer RNA (tRNA) molecules are approximately 80 nucleotides in length. Their secondary structure includes four short double-helical elements and three loops (D, anti-codon, and T loops). Further hydrogen bonds mediate the characteristic L-shaped molecular structure. tRNAs have two regions of fundamental functional importance: the anti-codon, which is responsible for specific mRNA codon recognition, and the 3' end, to which the tRNAs corresponding amino acid is attached (by aminoacyl-tRNA synthetases). tRNAs cope with the degeneracy of the genetic code in two manners: having more than one tRNA (with a specific anti-codon) for a particular amino acid; and 'wobble' base-pairing, i.e. permitting non-standard base-pairing at the 3rd anti-codon position. Lineage: Bacteria; Pseudomonadati; Thermodesulfobacteriota; Desulfobulbia; Desulfobulbales; Desulfobulbaceae. The record is from RNAcentral.
GAGGAAGUAGCUCAAUGGUAGAGCACUGGGCUUUUUACCCUUCGCCUAUGGCACAAAGGGUUCCUAAAAAUCCGGACCCAUCGUUGCAGGUUCAAGUCCUGUCUUCCUCGCCA